CAGUGCCUGGUGGGUAGUUUAACUGGGGCGGUUGCCUCCCAAAAAGUAACGGAGGUGCCCAAAGGUUCCCUCAACCUGGUUGGCAAUCAGGUGGCGAGUGUAAGUGCACAAGGGAGCUUGACUGUGAGACUGACAGGUCGAGCAGGGACGAAAGUCGGGACUAGUGAUCCGGCAGUGGCUUGUGGAAGCGCUGUCGCUCAACGGAUAAAAGGUACCUCGGGGAUAACAGGCU
RNAcentral lists this ribosomal RNA (232 nucleotides) under bacterium LRH843. RNAcentral's name for it is "partial 23S ribosomal RNA". It matches the Rfam family "Bacterial large subunit ribosomal RNA", at positions 2252 to 2483 of the family's 2925-position model. The record is from RNAcentral.